RNAcentral lists this ribosomal RNA (2787 nucleotides) under human gut metagenome. Its description in RNAcentral is "bacterial LSU rRNA". It matches the Rfam family "Bacterial large subunit ribosomal RNA". The record is from RNAcentral.
AGGGCGCAUGGUGAAUGCCUUGGCAUCAGGAGCCGAUGAAGGACGUGAUAAGCUGCGAUAAGCUUCGGGUAGGCGCACAUAGCCUGAGAUCCGAAGAUUUCCGAAUGAGGAAACUCACAUGGGAAACCCCAUGUAUCAUUAAGUGAAUACAUAGCUUAAUGAAGGUAACCCAGGGAACUGAAACAUCUAAGUACCUGGAGGAAGAGAAAGAAAAAUCGAUUUUCUUAGUAGCGGCGAGCGAAAGGGAAAGAGCCCAAACCGGAAACUUGUUUCCGGGGUUGAGGACAUAACAUAAAGAGAAGUAAUGGCUAAUUGAAGAGAACUGGAAAGUUCCACCGUAGAAGGUAAUAGUCCUGUAAGUGAAAUGAGAAGACCACGAGUUAUGAUCCAGAGUACCACGAGACACGUGAAACCUUGUGGGAAGCAGGGAGGACCACCUCCCAAGGCUAAAUACUACCUGAUGACCGAUAGUGAAGCAGUACCGUGAGGGAAAGGUGAAAAGCACCCCGGAAGGGGAGUGAAAUAGAUCCUGAAACCGUGUGCCUACAACCGCUCAGAGCCCCUUAUGAGGGUGAUGAGGUGCUUUUUGUAGAACGAGCCAACGAGUUACGGUAUGUAGCAAGGUUAAGUACUUAAGGUACGGAGCCGAAGGGAAACCGAGUCUGAAUAGGGCGACUAGUUGCAUGCCGUAGACCCGAAACCGGGUGACCUAUCCAUGGCCAGGUUGAAGCGAGGGUAAAACCUCGUGGAGGACCGAACCACGUUGCUGUUGAAAAAGCAUGGGAUGAGCUGUGGAUAGCGGAGAAAUUCCAAUCGAACCCGGAGAUAGCUGGUUCUCUCCGAAAUAGCUUUAGGGCUAGCGUCGAGUAUGAGUAGUGGAGGUAGAGCACUGAAUGGGCUAGGGGGCAUAGCGCUUACCGAACCUUAUCAAACUCCGAAUGCCACAUACUUUGAGCUCGGCAGUCAGACUACGAAUGAUAAGAUCCGUGGUCAAAAGGGAAACAGCCCAGAUCGUCAGCUAAGGUCCCAAAGUGUAAGUUAAGUGGGAAAGGAUGUGAGAUUUCUAAGACAACUAGGAUGUUGGCUUAGAAGCAGCCAUUCAUUAAAAGAGUGCGUAAUAGCUCACUAGUCGAGAGAUCUUGCGCCGAAAAUGUAACGGGGCUAAACUUACCACCGAAGCUACGGGCUUGAACUUAGUUCAAGCGGUAGGAGAGCGUCGUAACCGGGCUGAAGUCGUACCGUAAGGAGCGGUGGACUGGUUACGAGUGAGAAUGUUGGCAUCAGUAGCGAGAUGUGGGUGAGAAUCCCACAGGCCGAAAACCUAAGGUUUCCUCAGGAAGGUUCGUCCGCUGAGGGUUAGUCGGGACCUAAGCCGAGGCCGAAAGGCGUAGGUGAUGGACAACUGGUUGAUAUUCCAGUACCACUACUAUCGUUAUUAUCGAUGGCGUGACGCAGGAGGAUAGUGUGUGCUAGCUAUUGGAUGCUAGUCUAAGCGUUUAGGCAGUGAGAGUAGGCAAAUCCGCUCUCAUAAUGCUGAGGCGUGAUGGGGAAGGUUCUACGGAACCGAAGUACAUGAUUCCACGCUGCCAAGAAAAGCGUCUAGAGAGAGAAGUAGUGCCCGUACCGCAAACCGACACAGGUAGGUGAGGAGAGAAUCCUAAGGCCGGCGGAAGAAUUACAGUUAAGGAACUCGGCAAAUUGACCCCGUAAGUUCGCGAGAAGGGGUGCCUACGAGAGUAGGCCGCAGAGAAUAGGCCCAAGCAACUGUUUAGCAAAAACACAGGUCUCUGCUAAAGCGUAAGCUGAUGUAUAGGGGCUGACGCCUGCCCGGUGCUGGAAGGUUAAGGGGAACACUUAGCGCAAGCGAAGGUGUGAACUUAAGCCCCAGUAAACGGCGGCCGUAACUAUAACGGUCCUAAGGUAGCGAAAUUCCUUGUCAGGUAAGUUCUGACCCGCACGAAUGGCGUAAUGACUUGGGCACUGUCUCAACUGUAAAUCCGGCGAAGUUGUAGUGCGAGUGAAGAUGCUCGCUACCCGCGAUUGGACGGAAAGACCCCGUAGAGCUUUACUGUAGCUUAGCAUUGAGUUUUGGUAUUGUCUGUACAGGAUAGGUGGGAGACUAGGAAACCAGGGCGUCAGCCUUGGUGGAGUCAACCUUGGGAUACCACCCUGACAGUACUGAAAUUCUAACUGGCGGCCAUGAAUCUGGUCACAGGACAUUGUUAGGUGGGCAGUUUGACUGGGGCGGUCGCCUCCUAAAAAGUAACGGAGGCGCCCAAAGGUUCCCUCAGAACGGUCGGAAAUCGUUCGAAGAGUGCAAAGGCAGAAGGGAGCCUGACUGCGACACCCACAAGUGGAGCAGGGACGAAAGUCGGGCUUAGUGAUCCGGUGGUACCUCGUGGGAGGGCCAUCGCUCAACGGAUAAAAGCUACCUCGGGGAUAACAGGCUGAUCUCCCCCAAGAGUCCACAUCGACGGGGAGGUUUGGCACCUCGAUGUCGGCUCGUCGCAUCCUGGGGCUGUAGUCGGUCCCAAGGGUUGGGCUGUUCGCCCAUUAAAGCGGCACGCGAGCUGGGUUCAGAACGUCGUGAGACAGUUCGGUCCCUAUCCGUCGCGGGCGUAGGAAAUUUGAGAGGAGCUGUCCUUAGUACGAGAGGACCGGGAUGGACUUACCGCUGGUGUACCAGUUGUUCUGCCAAGGGCAUUGCUGGGUAGCUAUGUAGGGAAGGGAUAAACGCUGAAAGCAUCUAAGUGUGAAGCCCACCUCAAGAUGAGAUUUCCCAUUUCU